AUUAGCAACUAUGAGUCGGAUUUGGUAGAGAUGAAGUUGUAUACCAAACAUGAAUAUUUUCGCAACAUAAGAAGAAAAAGCAAGGGCUUUUCAAAGGGUGCAUCCAUUUAUCGUGGAGUCUCCAGGAACUCGGACUUCAAGAAAUGGCAAGCAAGGAUUGGAAAAGGGAAAGAGAUCAGAGGAAUUUACCUAGGAACAUU
Hibiscus syriacus is the source of this 200-nucleotide long non-coding RNA. RefSeq lists it as uncharacterized. NCBI's taxonomy places the organism in Eukaryota, Viridiplantae, Streptophyta, Magnoliopsida, Malvales, Malvaceae. The record is from RefSeq and is a predicted model, not a curated record. The transcript has 3 exons.